RNAcentral lists this ribosomal RNA (119 nucleotides) under Pteropus alecto (black flying fox). The record is from RNAcentral. Lineage: Eukaryota; Metazoa; Chordata; Mammalia; Chiroptera; Pteropodidae.
GUCUCCAGCCACGGCACCCUGAACAAGCCCGAUCCCGUCUGAUCGCGGAAGCUAAGCAGGGUGGGGCCUGGUUAGGACUUGGAUGGGAGACCACCUAGGAAGGCCAGGUGCUGUAGGUG